This 301-nucleotide ribosomal RNA is filed under the name uncultured bacterium. RNAcentral's name for it is "partial 16S ribosomal RNA". It matches the Rfam family "Bacterial small subunit ribosomal RNA", at positions 509 to 807 of the family's 1533-position model. The record is from RNAcentral.
CAGUCGCCACGGUAAUACGUAGGUGGCAAGCGUUGUCCGGAAUUAUUGGGCGUAAAGGGCUCGCAGGCGGUUUCUUAAGUCUGAUGUGAAAGCCCCCGGCUCAACCGGGGAGGGUCAUUGGAAACUGGGAAACUUGAGUGCAGAGGAGGAGAGUGGAAUUCUACGUGUAGCGGUGAAAUGCGUAGAGAUGUGGAGGAACACCAGUGGCGAAGGCGACUCUCUGGUCUGUAACUGACGCUGAGGAGCGAAAGCGUGGGGAACGAACAGGAUUAGAGACCCCCGUAGUCCCUGUCUCUUAUAC